Molecule: ribosomal RNA, 253 nt
Filed under: uncultured bacterium
Lineage: Bacteria
Description: partial 16S ribosomal RNA
Rfam family: Bacterial small subunit ribosomal RNA
Source: RNAcentral
UACGUAGGGUGCAAGCGUUAAUCGGAAUUACUGGGCGUAAAGCGUGCGCAGGCGGUUUGUUAAGUCUGAUGUGAAAUCCCCGGGCUUAACCUGGGAACUGCAUUGGAUACUGGCUGGCUGGAGUGCGGCAGAGGGGGGUGGAAUUCCGCGUGUAGCAGUGAAAUGCGUAGAUAUGCGGAGGAACACCGAUGGCGAAGGCAACCCCCUGGGCCAGCACUGACGCUCAGGCACGAAAGCGUGGGGAGCAAACAGG